GGUUGUUUAAAAAUUUUACUAUAAAAUUUGUAUAAUUUGAUUUUCUUUUUGAUAGUGGCUUUUACGAUUGGUUUUGAUUGAUAGUAACUUCUAAAUAUUUAGAAUCUCCUUUGUUAGACAUUGGUGACCUUUGAAAACUUCUUUUGGUUCUUUUAUUUGGUGUUUAGAGCAUAAAUUAUGUAAAUCUUAUACGAAAAAGGAUUGAAGAAGGAUUUUGGUAGCAAAGGGAGUAAUUAGGGCACCAAUAUAGAUGAAUGGAGAUGAAUAAUGAAAAUCUCCAUUCCUAUUGGUCAAAAAUCAUGACCAAUGGGCUUUGAGGAGGCUAUCCGAGGCCAUAUUAGGGAUUAGGGUUAGUUUCUCGAGGCCAUUCGAGUUUUGAAGGCCAGGAUCAGAAGGUUUAGGUUUUUGGCUAUGGUUUUGGUGCAAGUUUUGUAUGGUUUGGAGUUUAUAUGAAGGAGAUACAAGCGCUCAAAGUUAAGGUGUUGAUUUUGGAACUACUGUCAUUCUUUUUGGCAUAACGCACGCGUAUAGAUAGCAAUUGAAAAUCGGCGAUUGCGACUGGAGAGAGCACUUUUGUAGCUACACUUUUCACAUACUUCUUAUUAGAUUCUAAGUUGAAAUGAAGGAGUUAUUGGAUUUUGAA
Molecule: long non-coding RNA, 643 nt
Filed under: Physcomitrium patens
Lineage: Eukaryota; Viridiplantae; Streptophyta; Bryopsida; Funariales; Funariaceae
Description: long non-coding RNA (PPAT_LNC002988)
Source: RNAcentral